Molecule: ribosomal RNA, 493 nt
Filed under: uncultured bacterium
Lineage: Bacteria
Description: partial 16S ribosomal RNA
Rfam family: Bacterial small subunit ribosomal RNA
Source: RNAcentral
AUUGAACGCUGGCGGCAUGCUUUACACAUGCAAGUCGAACGGUAACAGGUUAAGCUGACGAGCGGCGAACGGGUGAGUAAUGCAUCGGAACGUGCCCGGUCGUGGGGGAUAACGCAGCGAAAGCUGCGCUAAUACCGCAUACGAUCUGAGGAUGAAAGCGGGGGACCGUAAGGCCUCGCGCGAUCGGAGCGGCCGAUGUCAGAUUAGGUAGUUGGUGGGGUAAAGGCCCACCAAGCCGACGAUCUGUAGCUGGUCUGAGAGGACGACCAGCCACACUGGGACUGAGACACGGCCCAGACUCCUACGGGAGGCAGCAGUGGGGAAUUUUGGACAAUGGGCGAAAGCCUGAUCCAGCAAUGCCGCGUGCAGGAAGAAGGCCUUCGGGUUGUAAACUGCUUUUGUACGGAGCGAAAAGGUCCUUUCUAAUACAAGGGGCUCAUGACGGUACCGUAAGAAUAAGCAUCGGCUAACUACGUGCCAGCCGCCGCCGUAA